CGACAAUUAGUCAAGACUCAUAAUUGAAAAAGAAACAUGAUUGUUUUCAAAUAAACUCCAACCAAAACUGAUUUGAUAAGUAAACAUCUAAAUUUUACACUCUAAAGAACAAUUAUAGAAGUUCUCAAAGCAAAAUCUAACAAAGGAGUGCCCAAAGGUUCCGGCAAAUACGCUGUUAUCAUCAAAAGCCAAGUAUCAUAAAUGAUGGGAAAAAGGAAGACGGCUCGGAUGACAAGAGUUGCUCCUCUUUUAACUAAAAUCCAUACAGGAUUUGAUCCCUUACUUGGCAGCCAAGGAGGGGAAUUGGCCAACAUCUUCGAUGGAUGGGGCUGAAACGCUGUUGUUUCCAACAUAUCCACCGCCAUAACCUCUUCCACGGCCACGGCCCCUACCACGCCCACCAGAGCGGUAGUAAUUUUCUCCCUCAGCAGGCUUCAGAAACUCGUUUAUGGUUUGAGUCUUUUUGGCUUUUUCCACUGCCUCCUUUUUCUUAUCUUUCUCAGCACCCAAUUUGAUGAAAAUCUCAUCAUCAUUCUUCUUGUUUGAGAGAAGUUGCAUGGAUUGAAGUUCUUUGUCCAAAUUAACCUUUCUUUCCUCCUGCUUUAGAGCCACCAAAGCCUUCCUCUUCUCCUCCAUUACCUUCUCAUACUCCUCGAGGGUCAUCUCCUUCUCCUCAGGUUCCUUCUCUUCUAGCUCAGCAGCAGUAGAAUCCUUGUUGUCAUCUCCAGCAUCUUCCUGCCCAGUUUGUUUCUCAGCCUCAACAAUCUUCUCACCAUCAACAACAGGUACUUCAGUCUCCAGUGCAAUAUCAUCUGCAGUAGUUCCCCAAUUCCCACGACCAGAGCCCUCCCGUUUAAUAUACUCAUUCCCACGGCCAGUGCCACUUCGUCGAUCAAACACUCUCCUUGGGCGUUCAAUUUCUCCAUCAGCAGCAUCACCAUUAUUGAAACCACCACGACGACCUCCGUAGAAGCCCCCACGAGAUCCACCGUAUCCACCUCUCCUUUCAGAGACCUUUCCUGAUUCUCCAUUUUCUGGAGCACUGUACCUCCCAGAGAAUCCAUUAUUGCUGCCAAAAGCAUUCUCAUCAGCAGCAAAGUCUUGGUUAAACCCACGUCCACGUCCACGACCACGGCCCCCUCCACGUGGACCCCCGCGGCCUCCUCCUCUCUGGCCAUCACUCCUGGCUUCCCUCACAGCCUGUGAAGGAGGAACCGGCUUGGAGGGCAACUUAGCAGCAGGCUUAGCAGGCUGAACUGGACCCUUCUUGGCUGGUGCAGAUGCAACAGGAGCCUUUAGCUGCUGAGCAGCAACUAGCAAACUUGGGUCCUCAGCAUCAUCAUCCAAAAGGUCGAAUGGGUUCAAAGUAGCCAUUCUUUUUCACUCUUCUCGGAGUUCCUAAACAGAUAUAGAGAGAGGGUGAUGCAAAAGAACCGAUUUUUUUUCAAGAAAUCAACGAAAACUCUACAGAUUAAAAUCCAUGUAAAGAUGAAUUUAUGGGUAAAUUUGAAGAGAAACAAAUUUGUGGGUGUUAUGAAAACCUAACCAAAGCGGCUGAUAAUUGAAGGACUGAAGUGAAA
This 1580-nucleotide unclassified non-coding RNA is filed under the name Hevea brasiliensis (rubber tree). The record is from RNAcentral. Lineage: Eukaryota; Viridiplantae; Streptophyta; Magnoliopsida; Malpighiales; Euphorbiaceae.